RNAcentral lists this unclassified non-coding RNA (529 nucleotides) under Hevea brasiliensis (rubber tree). The record is from RNAcentral. Lineage: Eukaryota; Viridiplantae; Streptophyta; Magnoliopsida; Malpighiales; Euphorbiaceae.
UCUAACAGAGCUGAAUGGCGAAAAAAUAUCCAUAUAACUUACCUCAACUAGUUUGACAUUAAGGCUUAACUGUUAUUGCAUGCAGUUUGUGUUUGCGUGCAAUUGUGCAUACAUGUGGUCAUAAGCAUGGGUAUCUAUAUGUAUUGUGGAUAUAGAGGUGGCCAUAGUUGGUUUGAAACCGGACCGGUACAGCGUGGAACUGAAACUAGUCAAAACAGAAUUUACCGAAGCCAAUCCUGGAUUUGUAGAAACCAACUUGAACUGGAGCAGAACAAACAGGUCUGUUUUUAGGCCAAAACUGAAUUUUUCCCUUAAAAGAAGGGAAAAUUUUGACCAUCGGAUUUGAUCAUUGGAAUAUCACUUGGGGGAACAAGUCCUACAUUGGUGGUGUACUAGAAAAUUAGAAGGCAUAUAAGUACUAGCAAAUCAAACUAAAAUGACUUAGGCCAUUUUGGUGAUGGGGAACCCUAUUUCAAGAGCCCAGUUUCAAGCCUAGUUCAGUGUUUAGCCUGCCAAUUUGAUAUUUACA